GUGCCAGCCGCCGCGGUAAUACGGGGGGGGGCAAGCGUUGUUCGGAAUUACUGGGCGUAAAGGGCGCGUAGGCGGCCCUCUAAGUCAGACGUGAAAUCCCACGGCUUAACCGUGGAACUGCGUCCGAUACUGGAGGGCUUGAAUCCGGGAGAGGGAUGUGGAAUUCCAGGUGUAGCGGUGAAAUGCGUAGAUAUCUGGAGGAACACCGGUGGCGAAGGCGGCAUCCUGGACCGUUAUUGACGCUGAGGCGCGAAAGCUAGGGGAGCAAACGGGAUUAGAUACCCCCGUAGUCC
RNAcentral lists this ribosomal RNA (293 nucleotides) under uncultured bacterium. RNAcentral's name for it is "partial 16S ribosomal RNA". It matches the Rfam family "Bacterial small subunit ribosomal RNA", at positions 505 to 796 of the family's 1533-position model. The record is from RNAcentral.